UUUUAACAGUGGGGUGGGGAUUCUCCAUCUCUUGAUGUCUUCAAAUGAGGAUUGAUGCCUUACUGAAAGAUAUGUUUUACUCAAACACAAGGUAUUGGGCUC
Long non-coding RNA from Gopherus evgoodei (Goodes thornscrub tortoise), 102 nucleotides. RefSeq lists it as uncharacterized. The transcript has 3 exons. The record is from RefSeq and is a predicted model, not a curated record. NCBI's taxonomy places the organism in Eukaryota, Metazoa, Chordata, Testudines, Testudinidae.